RNAcentral lists this unclassified non-coding RNA (231 nucleotides) under fungal sp. Its description in RNAcentral is "partial internal transcribed spacer region". The stretch from base 1 to 46 matches the Rfam family "Eukaryotic small subunit ribosomal RNA", at positions 1786 to 1831 of the family's 1831-position model. The record is from RNAcentral. Lineage: Eukaryota; Fungi.
AAGUCGUAACAAGGUCUCCGUUGGUGAACCAGCGGAGGGAUCAUUACAGAGUGUAAAAGCUCCCAACCCGUGUGAACCUUACCUCCCCCCGGAGGGUCCUUUUUGGGGCCCGAAGGGGCGUUGCUUCGGUCGCCUCUCGGGGCGGCCGGAGGUCCAAACUCUGAAUUCUAGCGUAUCUCUGAGGCCUAACGGCAACUAUAACAACUUUCAACAACGGAUCUCUUGGCUCUG